This 251-nucleotide unclassified non-coding RNA is filed under the name uncultured Actinomycetes bacterium. Its description in RNAcentral is "uncultured actinobacterium contains 16S-23S intergenic spacer region". Lineage: Bacteria; Bacillati; Actinomycetota; Actinomycetes. The record is from RNAcentral.
UCCGAGUUGUCCCCGGCAGUCCUCUUAGAGUCCCCGGCAUUACCCGCUGGCAACUAAGAGCAGGGGUUGCGCUCGUUGCGGCACUUAAGCCAACACCUCACGGCACGAGCUGACGACCUGGGUCAUCCCAUCUUUCGAAUGGGCCAGGACUAUACCUUCACCCGGUGGUCAGACACCGGGGCCGGCGUGUUGCACCGCUCAUAGAUUUGAAAGCUCUGGGCUUCCAGAAAGCGAUGCCAUUACAGUCUCUA